This 453-nucleotide ribosomal RNA is filed under the name uncultured bacterium. Its description in RNAcentral is "bacterial SSU rRNA". It matches the Rfam family "Bacterial small subunit ribosomal RNA", at positions 340 to 786 of the family's 1533-position model. The record is from RNAcentral.
UACGGAAGGCAGCAGUGGGGAAUAUUGCACAAUGGGCGAAAGCCUGAUGCAGCUAUGCCGCGUGUAUGAAGAAGGCCUUAGGGUUGUAAAGUACUUUCAUCGGGGAGGAAAAACAAAACUAAUAAUUUUAUUUCUUGACGUUACCCGAAAAAGAAGCACCGGCUAACUCCGUGCCAGCAGCCGCGGUAAUACGGAGGGUGCUAGCGUUAAUCAGAAUUACUGGGCGUAAAGAGCACGUAGGUGGUUUUUUAAGUCAGAUGUGAAUCCCUGGGCUUAACCUAGGAACUGCAUUUUGAAACUGAAAUACUAGAGUAUCGUAGAGGGAGGUAGAAUUCUAGGUGUAGCGGUGAAAUGCGUAGAUAUCUGGAGGAAUACCUGUGGCGAAAGCGGCCUCCUAAACGAAUACUGACACUGAGGUGCGAAAGCGUGGGGAGCGAACAGGAGUUAGAUACC